Molecule: long non-coding RNA, 203 nt
Filed under: Bos taurus (domestic cattle)
Lineage: Eukaryota; Metazoa; Chordata; Mammalia; Artiodactyla; Bovidae
Description: long non-coding RNA NONBTAT011263
Source: RNAcentral
UGAUAGUUCUGUAUUGAGUGAUCAGCAGCUAAGUGCAAAUACUCCCAUCCCUGUAGUAGAGAUUAUUUUAUAUAAAAGUCACCUUAAUUACUAGACCCAGAAGGCCAGAGGUAAUGAAAAGUACUUUAGAAAGAUGAAAUGUUAAUGAUAAAUUAAAGGGAAUAAUCUUAGAUAGAUUUUCUUAAGUGUAAUUUAGUGCAGAU